GGGGCUGACCUGGUUUUGACAGCAAGCCGAAAUGUUACGUAAGCAUGCCGAGCAUUGUGAUUAAGCUCGUAAAUCUCAAUCACAAACAAUAAUUGGCGAAACUAAUUACGCUCUCGCUGCCUAAUCGAAUCAUAGUAGAUUGUGGCUCAAUCCAGGCACAAGGUGCAGGGACGAGACAUCCUGCCUGAGUGAGACUCCCAAUUCACUAAGGUUUAUAGGGUGCAAAAAAUUUUGGGAUAGUAUAACGGAUGUUCCGGCCGUUAUGCGAAAAUAAAGGAACUAAGAACAGGUUAGGCCGCCCGAUGCCAGACCUGUUACGAAAAUCAAUAUUGGGCUAAGCAUGUAGAAAGCGUAUGAUUUCCUUGUUUGGACGCGGGUUCGACUCCCGCCAGCUCCACUA
This 400-nucleotide transfer-messenger RNA is filed under the name Bacteroidota bacterium. Its description in RNAcentral is "Bacteroidetes bacterium (hot springs metagenome) transfer-messenger RNA". It matches the Rfam family "transfer-messenger RNA". From Rfam's summary of the family: Bacterial tmRNA, also known as 10Sa RNA or SsrA, is named for its dual tRNA and mRNA-like properties. Lineage: Bacteria; Pseudomonadati; Bacteroidota. The record is from RNAcentral.